GAUGAACGCUGGCGGCGUGCUUAACACAUGCAAGUCGAACGGUGAAGCCAAGCUUGCUUGGUGGAUCAGUGGCGAACGGGUGAGUAACACGUGAGCAACCUGCCCUGGACUCUGGGAUAAGCGCUGGAAACGGUGUCUAAUACUGGAUAUGAGAUGUGAUCGCAUGGUCAUGUUUGGAAAGAUUUUUCGGUCUGGGAUGGGCUCGCGGCCUAUCAGCUUGUUGGUGAGGUAAUGGCUCACCAAGGCGUCGACGGGUAGCCGGCCUGAGAGGGUGACCGGCCACACUGGGACUGAGACACGGCCUAGACUCCUACGGGAGGCAGCAGUGGGGAAUAUUGCACAAUGGGCGGAAGCCUGAUGCAGCAACGCCGCGUGAGGGAUGACGGCCUUCGGGUUGUAAACCUCUUUUAGCAGGGAAGAAGCGUAAGUGACGGUACCUGCAGAAAAAGCGCCGGCUAACUACGUGCCAGCAGCCGCGGUAAUACGUAGGGCGCAAGCGUUAUCCGGAAUUAUUGGGCGUAAAGAGCUCGUAGGCGGUUUGUCGCGUCUGCUGUGAAAUCCCGAGGCUCAACCUCGGGUCUGCAGUGGGUACGGGCAGACUAGAGUGCGGUAGGGGAGAUUGGAAUUCCUGGUGUAGCGGUGGAAUGCGCAGAUAUCAGGAGGAACACCGAUGGCGAAGGCAGAUCUCUGGGCCGUAACUGACGCUGAGGAGCGAAAGGGUGGGGAGCAAACAGGCUUAGAUACCCUGGUAGUCCACCCCGUAAACGUUGGGAACUAGUUGUGGGGACCAUUCCACGGUUUCCGUGACGCAGCUAACGCAUUAAGUUCCCCGCCUGGGGAGUACGGCCGCAAGGCUAAAACUCAAAGGAAUUGACGGGGACCCGCACAAGCGGCGGAGCAUGCGGAUUAAUUCGAUGCAACGCGAAGAACCUUACCAAGGCUUGACAUACACCAGAACACCGUAGAAAUACGGGACUCUUUGGACACUGGUGAACAGGUGGUGCAUGGUUGUCGUCAGCUCGUGUCGUGAGAUGUUGGGUUAAGUCCCGCAACGAGCGCAACCCUCGUUCUAUGUUGCCAGCACGUAAUGGUGGGAACUC
RNAcentral lists this ribosomal RNA (1100 nucleotides) under uncultured bacterium. RNAcentral describes it as "bacterial SSU rRNA". It matches the Rfam family "Bacterial small subunit ribosomal RNA", at positions 28 to 1140 of the family's 1533-position model. The record is from RNAcentral.